AUGAGUGGAGCUUGCUCCAUGAUUCAGCGGCGGACGGGUGAGUAAUGCCUAGGAAUCUGCCUGGUAGUGGGGGACAACGUUUCGAAAGGAACGCUAAUACCGCAUACGUCCUACGGGAGAAAGUGGGGGAUCUUCGGACCUCACGCUAUCAGAUGAGCCUAGGUCGGAUUAGCUAGUUGGUGAGGUAAAGGCUCACCAAGGCGACGAUCCGUAACUGGUCUGAGAGGAUGAUCAGUCACACUGGAACUGAGACACGGUCCAGACUCCUACGGGAGGCAGCAGUGGGGAAUAUUGGACAAUGGGCGAAAGCCUGAUCCAGCCAUGCCGCGUGUGUGAAGAAGGUCUUCGGAUUGUAAAGCACUUUAAGUUGGGAGGAAGGGCAGUAAGUUAAUACCUUGCUGUUUUGACGUUACCAACAGAAUAAGCACCGGCUAACUUCGUGCCAGCAGCCGCGGUAAUACGAAGGGUGCAAGCGUUAAUCGGAAUUACUGGGCGUAAAGCGCGCGUAGGUGGUUCGUUAAGUUGGAUGUGAAAGCCCCGGGCUCAACCUGGGAACUGCAUCCAAAACUGGCGAGCUAGAGUAUGGCAGAGGGUGGUGGAAUUUCCUGU
This 609-nucleotide ribosomal RNA is filed under the name Stutzerimonas stutzeri. Its description in RNAcentral is "bacterial SSU rRNA". It matches the Rfam family "Bacterial small subunit ribosomal RNA", at positions 69 to 674 of the family's 1533-position model. The record is from RNAcentral. Lineage: Bacteria; Pseudomonadati; Pseudomonadota; Gammaproteobacteria; Pseudomonadales; Pseudomonadaceae.